Mastomys coucha (southern multimammate mouse) is the source of this 6157-nucleotide long non-coding RNA. RefSeq lists it as uncharacterized. The transcript is spliced from 7 exons. The record is from RefSeq and is a predicted model, not a curated record. NCBI's taxonomy places the organism in Eukaryota, Metazoa, Chordata, Mammalia, Rodentia, Muridae.
CACACAGCCAUUUUCUUAGCAGCUUUUUGACUGUAUGUUACCAAAGUCCCACAAGGCAUUGGUCCUUUCCCAUUGGGAAGUCAUGAAUAAGAGACUAUGAAGCUCACACGUCAGAUCUUCCUCAAUUAAUCCACCAUUAGCAUGUUCGGGGUCCACUACUGGAUGGUUAACAGCGGCUUUUGUAACUGUACGCCGACCAUACCCAAUUAUGCUUUGCUAAAAAUGAACUCUUUGCAGACCAAGCCUCUCGGGCUGUCAGUGUUUUCCGUUUUCCUAUUUUAACGUUUGUGUAUAGUGGCAGGCGACAGAUGGUGUGGAUCAGAUCGAUUUGAUUGCAUUAGAUGAUUUUCCCCCCUUCCCCACGCCUUUCUGGAAGCUCGCAUCAGCUGAAGGCUCUCGCCUGGGACUCCUCCGAAGCAUGAGCAAGCCGCCACCACGCGAAGGCACUGGGGCACAGCCAGCGAAAGGCGACGAGGUCCCUUCCCAGGGCUUGUUAACACUGUAACCGGGCGCUCACAGAGCAGCGGCUCCCACUGCCCAAGCCUGCCUAGCCGCCCAUCCGAAGACUCCUGGCUUCUGCACACAGUUGGAGUUCAGCCGGCAACCUGGAUUUAGAGGGGUUCGCUCUCUGCCAUGACACUCAAUCAAAGCACCUAGAGUGGGCUGGCCAUGACCAGAGUCCGCAUGAAGCAGAGCAAGUACCAAGGAGAGCGCUGGGUGAUCACCAGAAUUGGAAAUAGAACAGCCAUUUGGAAGAUCUGGGCAGGAAGCAACAGAGCACAGCUUUGGAGCCUUCUUUAGGGAAAUCGAGUUAUGGAUUUAUGGUCCCGGUCAAGCUCAGCCCAGCCCUAGCCAGGGGCGGGCUCCGCAGCAAGAGUUCUUUCUGGUGGUGGCGGCGGCGGCAGCGGCAGCAGUGACAGCGGUAGCAGAGGCAGAGGCAGCGGCAGCUUGGCCCUCUGACUCUCUUCGGUGACGGGUAUUCUUGGGUGGAUAAUACGGAUUACGUUGUUAUUGCUUAAGAAUACGCGUAGUCGAGGAGAGUACCAGCGGCAGGCGGGCAGCGGCCGCCCCUCCCAGCCCACCAGCUGGCCACUAAAAGCUCCCGGUUGCCAAGAAGUGUGAGCAAGUCAUUUUGCUGGAUGUCCACGUAUUUCGUUGAGCCAUUUGAAGACAUUAUGAGUGGGGUUAUUGAACCUUCCCUUGCUCUAGGACAAUGCAAGCCUGCAUCUGUUCACCAAGUAACAGGGAUUCUAUUUAGUGCUCAAUGCUGAUGAUCCAGAACGAAGGUCUGAGAGUUUAUGCCACAGGUAAGAGGAAGAAAAAGGUGAAUAUAUGGAAACCAUGAGAAACAGGGAAGCAAAGAGAUUUGUUGGAGUACAAGCUUAAGGAUUUGAAGAUGGAGGGCCACUUCAAAAACAGGGUAAGAUGCCACACUAAGUGGCUCCGGGUCGUGUCCUGUUGCUGUUGUAAAAUAUACCACCCAAAGUUUCUUUAAGCAAUAAAUGACUUCUUACAGCUCACAGUCCAAACACAAGCCAGUAUGAUAGGGGAGUGAGGGAUCAGAUAGCUGACAGAGCUGAGUGCAUCACACUGAGCAGUAAGUGUGUGCACACGAGUGCUGAGGUCACUUUCUCCAAGGUCCCCUGCCUAGGACUGGGGCCACCCACAGACAGCAGGUAUUUACAUGGUAGUUAACUGAAUCAAGGUAAUCCCCCACAGGUACAUCCACAGGCCAAUCUCCCAGGUGAUUCAAGACUUUUGUCGGGUUGAUAUGAACCAUCACACUAAUCAAACUUGUAAAUGCCUUGCAAUAGUGAUUGAAAGGAGAGAAAAGGAGUUCCUAGAAGCAGUGCCUAAAUUGGUUUCUGGAACUUUAUCAUAAUUUGAUUAGUUCUGAAGUAAUGUUCCUGCUAUGGAAUUGAUUUUCAAGACAGAAAGAAGAGGCACCUCUGUCUGUUUAAGUUGUAACACUGCAUAGUGGGAAUGGUAUAUCAGAUGUGGAAGACAUUCAUCUACCACGGCUUGGAAGAUGAUCUUUGUAGACAAUCUGGAACCUGGACAGCUGCUCCCUCCUCCCUGCUGUGUAUGUAAUCUUGGCAGGAGUCUCCUACUACUUAACAAAAGCUGACUGUGUGCAUCAUGGCCCUAACCUCAUGCCCUAUGACACCCCAGUAGUGGACCACACACAGCCAAGGUGAUUUAGCCCAUCACAACUGACAAUUCUAAAUUAGGUAGAUCAGAGCUUUAUUUCUCCUGUGUUACUUCAGCAUCAAACUGCUGGAGGCUGCCACCAUUCCUAACAUUUACCAGCCUUCCUUCUUUAUUGGAAAAGAAACAGAUAGAGUGACAGUUCUCUCUGCAUAAAAUUCUGCAGACCUUUCAGUAGAUAGUAUAUUUUAUGUUUCCUGUAUGUAGCAAACAUCAGCCUCACAAUUCUUGUAAUUUAAUUCACCAUUUUCUACAGAACUGUGAACACUUUUGCAAUUCUAAUAUACUAGAAAGCAUUUCAAUUAGUUCAUUGCAAUUCCAGGGGAAGGGGAUUUUGUAAAAAUCAUUUUACAGAUGAUUUUACAGGUGAGAUGUUUUCCUCUAAGUAUUAUUAGAAAGUUCCAAAGGGAACAUGCAAUUACUAAAUUGUCUAUUAAAUUUGUAUAUUUAUAUAUGCAUCCAAUAAGAAUACAUUUAUAUUCGUGUGUAUACAUACAUAGACACAUAUUCCAGUUUAGUUUCUGAUGUUGUGAUAAAACCCUGAACAAAAUCAACUUGGAAAGGAAAUAAUGUAUUUGUCUUUUACUCCUGUGCUGUAGUUCAUCAUUGAGAAAAUUCAGUGUGGAAACUCAAACAGGAAGCAAAAAUUAAAGCAGAGGCUGUGGAGAAAUGCCCCAACAUCAUGCCCCAUGACACCCCAUCAGUGGACCCCACACAGCCAAGAUAAUUUAGACCACCACAACUGACAAUUCUAAAUUAGGCAAAUGUGAGCUUUAUUCUUCCUGUGUGCAUUCAUGGUCUCCAUGGCUUGCACAGCUUGCCUUCUUAUAAUACCCAAGACCAACUUGCUGUGGGUAGCACUGCCUACCAUGAUCUGAAUGAAUCCUCUUAUUGUCAAUCAUUCAUCAAGAAAAUGUCUCUCUUCCACAGACAUUCCUAAAAAAUAUCUGGUGGAAGUGAUUUACAACUUGAGGAUCUCUUUUCCCAUAUAACUCUUGUUUGUAGAAAGUUGACAAAAACUAACCAUCGAAACACACAAGCACACACACACACACACACACACACACACACACACACACACCUACCUCUUUGUAUUUUCUUGGUAUGUCUUCAGAAUUGGAGUAAAUCCAUGGCUUCAGUUCUUACUCCUUGGUAAGUUAGUUUGAGGUCUGGUGCCAGUUGUUUCCACUGCUGCCCAGGAAGCUCUAAUAGAAUAUUCUAAGCCAGAGGCCACCAUUUCUAUUAUGAUGGGCACUAUGUACAAUGUGAAUUACUAUGUACAAUGAGCAUUACAGGUAAGCUCUGCAGGAAAUCAGUAAUUUAAGUGAAGAUUAAACCAUCAGCAAAUCACCCCACUUACUUGCCCAGCUAAAACCUCUCUCAUCUAGGUUGCCUUCCACAGAGAUUAUUUGUUCUUCCAAUCCUUCUUUCCAUUCCUGCUGUAGCAAUGUAAUUUUUACAACAUGAAAAAAUAACUUAUGCAUACCCAUUUUUUACACAAUAGAUUACAAACUGUGAAGGUAAUUUUACUGUCAAAAUUAUUUUUAGAACUUAUUUAGGGAAUUGUAUAGUAUUGAGACUACUGAAGUGAAAUUAUUGUUUAUUACUUAACAAACUUUGUAGGGUUGUUUAUAAAAGUGAAUAGAACUCCCCUGUCCCUCUCUCUGGGUGGACUUUUGGCAUAUGCUACUCCAUACCCCACCCCUACACCUUCCUAUUUUCCUUUCAAUUUGAGCUUUGCCAAUUACCACACUUUGUCCAAUAUCACUUUAGCAAGAAUGACAAAGGCAGAUGCUUGUCAAAGCUGCCAUAUCUGCUGUCCUCAUUUAAAAGAAGCUUGAACUACUUUCCAGGAAGCCCCCACCCCCCAAAAAAAAGCACAGGAGAGACCUGUCAUGUGUCAUGUCAGCUAAGGGAACUGGACCAAAUACUAGCCACAUGAUAGUGGCUAAAAUAUACUAAGACGACCUGUCCACUAAUAGAUAAAACUAUACCUUACCCAAAGAUGCAUGAGAAUAGAGAAUACAAUUGUUUUCAAUCACGACUUGGCAAUUUAUAGCUCAUGGGACAAAUCUUUGACAUCAGUUGUUUUAACAGUGCAGAAUCUGGGGAACACAGACAUAUGUAUUUAUUUGUAUGUUACGUCAACUGUUUCAAGUCGCACAAAAGGGGUAAAGUUGAAUAAUAAUCAAAGACUGGACGGCCCGAAGAACCUUCUUCUCUUGUGGGGGAAACUUUGUGAACUCUUGCUUUGAGUCUAAGAGGUAGGGUAAUUUGUUGGGCAGCGAUAAAUUACCCCGACAUUUGCCCAAAGGGAACAUGCCUCAUUUCUUAUUAAACCAAUAAAUUCCUAUGCUCACAAAAAAAGAAACUACAUAUGCAUUUGCAGAGCCAAUAACCUUUUCUGUGGAUAGAGCUUUUUGUUCUGCUUGCAUUUCUAAAGUACAUUUAUGCAGACAGCUAGUUUUACACCCGUGUUGGCUCCUUAUUCACCAUAGCCAUGGUGCUGAGCACGAGGUUACUUUUUCAGAAGUGUAUUUCUGAGUUCCUACAUUUUAUGUUACCCCAUGUUUGUGUUUUCCUUUCUGAAGUAAGAAGGGAGGAGAUGGAAACAUUUCUUGGGGCUUCUCUUUACCUUCCUCCCACUCUUCCAACUAACUGGAAUCUGUAGCCACUUGAUUCAAUAUCCCAAGUAGUCAAAUAUGUUGGAGAAGUAGGGUAUAAAAGCUAUUCAAAUAAUUUAAGCCAUCUUUUUCUCUUUCUAGAACUCCAUGGAACAUGACUUCUCACAAUUUAGAUAUUGAUCUCCAAAUUAGAAAGAGGUGCCUGUAAGUACUAACCAUGGAGAGUCCUGGUCCACGUGAGGUGCUCUGACUGACAUGGCUGGCUUCUUGUACAGGAACCUAGCAUAAAUAUCAUCAUAGAUGCUUCAACCAGCAAUGGAUGGAAACCAAUGCAGAGACCCACAUUCAAACAGGCUGAGUUUGAAGAAUCCUAUGGAAGAGAGGAAGAAUUGGAGGAACCAGAUCAGCAAGAAAACCUGCAAGAUCUACUAACCUGGGACCAUUAGGGGCUUGUAGAGACUGAAUUGUCAUCCAGAGAAUAUGCAUGGGACAGAUCUAGGCCUUCUAUACAUUUGUAGCAGUUGAGAAACUGGGUUGUCAUGUGGGACUCCUAAAGCAGAAACAGGGUCUGUUUCUGACUACAUUGCUGGUCUUGGGAUGCCUUUUCCCUGACUGGGCUGUCUUGUCUAGCUUCCAAAGCAGAAGGUGAGACAAGUCUAACUGCAACUUGAUAUGCUAAGGCUGGUUGCUAUGCGUGGGAGGAGCUUCCCAUUCUGAGGAGAAUGGAAGGAAUGGAUGGAGUAGAAGGGAAAAGAAGAAUGAGGGACUUGGAGGAGAGGAGAGAGGGGAAACUUCAAGCAGGAUGUAAAGUAAAUAAACAAAUAAAUAAAAACAAUUAAUGGAAAAAAGAAAGAAAAACAAAAGGCCUCCAAUCAAAGUUCUAAGUUUCUUCAUUAAUUAAUCAAAAAAAUCACAAUUUAACCACAAAACGAGAAGAGGAAAAAAAAACUUUAAAAAUGACAAUAGAAAUAUGCGGCAUAGGAAAAGAGUAGAUAAAAACCAAAGAAACCAACACUGACAUUUUGGUAAGAUGAAUAGACUUGGGAAAAGCCUAUUGUCAAGUUGUCAAGCCUAUUGAGACAAAAAAAUAGAAACACAGAUGAUGGCUGGCGUUAGAAACGGAAAGAAGACAUUGGUGUGGAUACUGUAGACAUUAGGGAACAAUGUGAGAACAUUCUAAAUACUUGAACUAAUGGUUGAUAAAUUCAAUGAAUCAUACAAAUUCUUUCAGACAUGUAACAUGAGAGCUUAUUCAAAAAUAGACUCACAUAACUGUGUAUCUAUAUAAGGCUUCAAUUUAUGCAUCACUUAUAAAACCUUCUAAA